AGGAUUAUGGGAUCUUCAGUAUAUACAAGCUUCGAUGGGUCUUCAGGAUCAGGCUCUGGUUCCUUGUUAAGAAGAACAAAUUCUGGAGUUUCAUCUGAUCAAGCAAAUGUAACAUAAAUUAGUACUAGUGACACCUAUCAAAUUUUACAAUGGAAGGAUAAAAGGGUUCAUAAAAUUGAGUUUGUCGUAUGUCCGGAAGAUCCCUAACAUUCUGCUUCUUACUUCGGAGAAAGAAGGAAAAAGAAAUUCAUGUAUGGGUGGAUGUGCAGAGCAAAUUUUUUGAAUGAAUGCGAGAUGAAGAGGGCGUAUGUCUAUGGAUGAUGAAAUUAAUACCCUUUGACCACCAGUAUUCAAGCUCAGCAGGCAUGGGUAUCCUCAGUGGAGCUUUAUAGAAGGAGUUCAACCACAUUUCCCUUUCUUCAUCGACCUCAUGCACAUACGUUUUCCAAUAAUCAGGUACCUGACAAAGAAGUAUAAAUACUUUUCUAUGAGAAAAGAAGUAUUACAUGCUCAACUUCUUAAACCUGAUCAAUCAAUUUCCUGACUAAUUAAGUAUAUUGAUUUACUU
Molecule: long non-coding RNA, 568 nt
Organism: Malus domestica (apple)
Lineage: Eukaryota; Viridiplantae; Streptophyta; Magnoliopsida; Rosales; Rosaceae
Source: RefSeq, a predicted model, not a curated record